UUUCCCCUAGUAGGACGUCGCGAUCCGUUGGGCGUCGGUCUAAGGCCUGCGGUGGAGCUCGCGUGGACGUUUCGGCGUUCCGCACGAACCCGCAGUGUCCCGAUCGACACGCUCGACGGUAUAAAGAUGGCGCGGGGCCGCUACACAGUUAGCGUUCGGCCUACGGCAAGCACGUGCGGUGUUUGAUGGCGAUCAGACCUAGUCGGAUCCCGUCCCCGGACGACUGUUGGCACGUAGUGUUCUCGAACAGACCUCGUUGAAACGCCGAUCUGCGACGCUAUGC
RNAcentral lists this ribosomal RNA (283 nucleotides) under Stolas discoides. Its description in RNAcentral is "partial large subunit ribosomal RNA". Lineage: Eukaryota; Metazoa; Arthropoda; Insecta; Coleoptera; Chrysomelidae. The record is from RNAcentral.